Molecule: long non-coding RNA, 1513 nt
Organism: Brassica oleracea var. oleracea
Lineage: Eukaryota; Viridiplantae; Streptophyta; Magnoliopsida; Brassicales; Brassicaceae
Exons: 4
Source: RefSeq, a predicted model, not a curated record
ACCUUUUCAACCCUACGCCGUUUCCAAUCCCUCCUUGGUCUUCUUCCCCUUAGUCUGCCUCUGCAGACCAACACUUUCACCGGUUACAAAUCUUUUAUUCCUUAUUAAUCUUUUCAGCUUCCUUCUCUCUCCUUACUCACUAUAUAAGAUUGCUAGAUUCACAAAAAAAAUCCUCUCACGAGAACCAACAGAGCUCUUCAUCGCCUCCGGAGAAAACGAAUCGUUACCAACGUAUACAGUUUUCUGGAAAAAUAAUUACUCCUUAAUAUUUGGAACGAGUAAGAACAAGCAGUUGAAAGAAUUGAGGGAGAUGGAGGAGUUCGAACUCCAUCAUUGGUGGAGCUUACGGUUGAGGAUUCGGAGUUUACGGUUAAAGUUUCCUAAUUUUAAUUCACGAUUUCACUUCCUCUGUUUCAGAUAGGUGGUUUCGUUUUUGAAAGCUCUUGAUCUGGUGUUUAGGUUGUUGGACGUGUAAAAAGAAGAGAUGAAGCUUUACAGGAUAAGAUUCAUCAUCUGGUUUGUCGGGUUUUCUAACUUUCAAUCUCUGUUUUGAUGAUAAAACAAUCCAAACCGAAUGUGAGCAAUGCAGUUUCAGUUUGUUUGCUUUGUUUUUUUAAUGAAAGUUGUGGUCUUUUGCAGAGUUGUUAUUAGCUUUAAAGUUAUGGGUCUCUUUUUUUUUGGACAACAAGUUUUGGGUCUCUAAUUUCAAAAUUUGCAUUUACACAAUUAAUUGACCUCUAAACGCAAGAGAACCACACCGUUUGUUUUUUUGCCCUUCCUCUUACACUUACGCUUUCUACUUUAUGUUUUUCAGGGAACAGCUGAAAAUGGGCUAAUUGAGUUCAAGGAGAUGUAAUCUUGACACAAUUUCAAGGUUCGCAUAGCGCAAGAACGACGUUCUAGCAAUCCCUGCUUCAUCUGGUCAUCACUUAGUCUUCUAAUACUAUGACUCCAAGAGCAUGCUAAUGAAGAGGAAGAGGUGGAGUAAAAUGUUUGGCAGCAACACUCACCCCUGUGAGGGAAGUUAAAUAUAUGAUGAUCUUGAUUUUUGAUACCGGGACGUAUAUUUGCAGCUUCUUAGUAGAGUCUUUAACAUUCUCCAUGCAAACAAUCCAAAGCUCGCUGGAGAUGGGUGUUGUACAGUUAUGAGGUCUCCUUAAGUUUUUUUAGCAGGAGACAAAAAGAAGACAAUGUUUACCAAUCACAAAAUUAUAAUUUCUUCUCUCUUCUUUCAGUUCUAAUGAUUGGUUGUUAUUUGAGUUGUUGUGAUUUGUAGUAACGAUGUUUAAAGGAAGAUAGAAUCUAAGAAGUCAGUUUCAGAGAUUAAUUAUGAAGUUGAGGGUGAGGAUGGUAGUGAAUAGGUUUGUAGUUGAUCUUUUAAAAUUACGUUUCAUUGUGUAUUAUUAAAAUUCAUGAUGAAACUGGUGACUAAGAAGUUGAAAUUUGUAGCAUAAGUACAGAUGGCUGAUCUCUUUGUGUUCUUUAUUUUUUAGUAAAACUGCUAUGGAAAUGA